Molecule: ribosomal RNA, 497 nt
Filed under: uncultured bacterium
Lineage: Bacteria
Description: partial 16S ribosomal RNA
Rfam family: Bacterial small subunit ribosomal RNA
Source: RNAcentral
GAUGAACGCUGGCGGCGUGCCUAAUACAUGCAAGUCGAGCGAACAGACGAGGAGCUUGCUCCUCUCACGUUAGCGGCGCACGGGUGAGUAACACGUGUAUCCCCUACCUAUAAUUCUGGGAUAACUUCGGGAAACCGGAUCUAAUCCCGUAUAAUAUAUUGAUCCGCAUGGUUCAAUAGUGAAAGACGGCUUUGCUGUCACUUAUAGCUGGAUCCCCGCCGCUUUAGCUAGUUGGUACGGUAACGGCUUUCCACGGGCACGAUGCGUAGACGACCUGAGAGGGUGAUCGCCCACACUGGAACUGAGACACGGUCCAGACUCCUACGGGACGGAGCAGUAGGGAAUCGGAGGCAAUGGGCGAAAGCCUGACGGAGCGAGGCCGAGUGAGUGACGAAGGUCUUCGGAGCGGAAAAAUCUGUUACGAGGGGAGAACAAAUGUGUCAGGAAAUAAGCACGUAUUGACGGUACCUAAUAAGAAAGCAACGGCUAACUACGUG